GAGUGUGAUGAUUCAUAGUAAUCGAACGAAUCGCAGGUAUAUGCGAUAAGUCACUCAAGUUCCUGCCCUAUCAGCUUUGGAUGGUAGUGUAUUGGACUACCAUGGCAGUCACGGGUAACGGAGAAUUAGGGUUCGAUUCCGGAGAGGGAGCCUGAGAAACGGCUACCACAUCUACGGAAGGCAGCAGGCGCGCAAAUUGCCCAAUCCCGACACGGGGAGGCAGUGACAAGAAAUAACAACUCUAGGAUUUCUUAGAAGUGUAAUGAGGAUAAUUUACAAACCUUACCGAAUGCAAUUGGAGGGCAAGUCUGGUGCCAGCAGCCGCGGUAAUUCCAGCUCCAAUAGCGUAUAUUAAAGUUGUUGCAGUUAAAAAGCUCGUAGUUGAAGUUCUGAUCGUUCAGGUCCUCAGCCUUAGGCGGGGAUUCUGACGGUCAUCCGCUUGCAAACAUAUGUUCGAUCUUCACCGGUUGGCUAUGUGAGUAAGCAAUUUACCUUGAGAAAAACAGAGUGUUCCAGGCAGGUUUGUCCGGAACGCAUUAGCAUGGAAUAAUAGAACAUGACUGAAGUCUAUUUAUUGGUUUAAGGCUUUAGUAAUGAUUAAUAGGAACAGUCGGUGCAUUCGUACUCAGCAGUCAGAGGUGAAAUUCUAAGAUUUGCUGAAGACGAACUAAUGCGAAAGCAUUUGCCAAGGAUGUUUUCAUUAAUCAAGAACGAAAGUUAGGGGAUCAAAGACGAUCAGAUACCGUCCUAGUCUUAACUAUAAACGAUGCCGACUCGGAUUCGGAUGAAUCAAAAAGUUCAUUUGGGACCGUAGGAGAAAUCAAAGUCUUUGGGUUCUGGGGGGAGUAUGGUCGCAAGGCUGAAACUUAAAGGAAUUGACGGUUUUGCACCACCAUGGAGUGGAGUCUGCGGCUUAAUUUGACCCAACACUGGGAAACUCAUCAGGGCAAGAAGAUUUUAGGAUUGACAGAUUGAGAGUUCUUUCUUGAUUGGUCUAGUGGUGGUGCAUGGCCGUUCUUAGUUGGUGGAGUGAUUUGUCUGGUUAAUUCCGUUAACGAACGAGACCUUAACCUGCUAACUAGUGCUUCGAUCUCUAAUCGAAGGCACUUCUUAGAGGGACUAUGUGUGGUAAUCACAUGGAAGUUUGAGGCAAUAACAGGUCUGUGAUGCCCUUAGAUGUCCUGAGCUGCACGCGUACUACAAUGGCACUUUCAACAAGUCUUUCCUGAUCCGAAAGGAUUUGGGUAAUCUUUUUAGGGAGUGCCGUGCUUGGGAUAGAUCUUUGUAAUUGUGGAUCUUGAACUAGGAAUUCCU
Molecule: ribosomal RNA, 1314 nt
Filed under: metagenome
Description: SSU rRNA
Rfam family: Eukaryotic small subunit ribosomal RNA
Source: RNAcentral